ACGACUCUCGGCAACGGAUAUCUCGGCUCUCGCAUCGAUGAAGAACGUAGCGUAAUGCGAUACCUGGUGUGAAUUGCAGAAUCCCGCGAACCAUCGAGUCUUUGAACGCAAGUUGCGCCCGAGGCCACUCGGCCGAGGGCACGCCUGCCUGGGCGUCACGC
RNAcentral lists this ribosomal RNA (161 nucleotides) under Hordeum secalinum. RNAcentral describes it as "5.8S ribosomal RNA". It matches the Rfam family "5.8S ribosomal RNA". Rfam says of the family: 5.8S ribosomal RNA (5.8S rRNA) is a component of the large subunit of the eukaryotic ribosome. It is transcribed by RNA polymerase I as part of the 45S precursor that also contains 18S and 28S rRNA. Lineage: Eukaryota; Viridiplantae; Streptophyta; Magnoliopsida; Poales; Poaceae. The record is from RNAcentral.